This is a non-coding RNA of Tinamus guttatus (white-throated tinamou), 122 nucleotides long. NCBI's taxonomy places the organism in Eukaryota, Metazoa, Chordata, Aves, Tinamiformes, Tinamidae. The record is from RefSeq and is a predicted model, not a curated record.
UGACACUUCCAAGGCAACUGUUCCUAUGGGCCUUAUUGCAACCACACUUUGUCCAUGCCGGCAGGAGAGCACCAGGGACAUCCUUGUUUCCCACCGCGUGCCCAGUUACUCUGCAGCUGCCG